UAGGGAAUCUUCCACAAUGGACGCAAGUCUGAUGGAGCAACGCCGCGUGAGUGAAGAAGGUCUUCGGAUCGUAAAACUCUGUUGUUAGAGAAGAACACGAGUGAGAGUAACUGUUCAUUCGAUGACGGUAUCUAACCAGCAAGUCACGGCUAACUACGUGCCAGCAGCCGCGGUAAUACGUAGGUGGCAAGCGUUGUCCGGAUUUAUUGGGCGUAAAGGGAACGCAGGCGGUCUUUUAAGUCUGAUGUGAAAGCCUUCGGCUUAACCGGAGUAGUGCAUUGGAAACUGGAAGACUUGAGUGCAGAAGAGGAGAGUGGAACUCCAUGUGUAGCGGUGAAAUGCGUAGAUAUAUGGAAGAACACCAGUGGCGAAAGCGGCUCUCUGGUCUGUAACUGACGCUGAGGUUCGAAAGCGUGGGUAGCAAACAGGAUUAGAUACCCUGGUAGUCCAUGCCGUAAACGAUGAAUGCUAGGUGUUGGAGGGUUUCCACCCUUCAGUGCCGCAGCUAACGCAAUAAGCAUUCCGCCUGGGGAGUACGACCGCAAGGUUG
RNAcentral lists this ribosomal RNA (550 nucleotides) under uncultured bacterium. RNAcentral's name for it is "bacterial SSU rRNA". It matches the Rfam family "Bacterial small subunit ribosomal RNA", at positions 355 to 896 of the family's 1533-position model. The record is from RNAcentral.